UACGUAGGUGGCGAGCGUUAUCCGGAUUUAUUGGGCGUAAAGCGUCCGCAGCCGGUUUAUUAAGUCCAGAAUCAAAGCCCGAAGCUCAACUUCGGUUCGUUUUGGAAACUGAUAGGCUAGAGUGUGGUAGAGGCAAGUGGAACUUCUAGUGUAGCGGUAAAAUGCGUAGAUAUUAGAAAGAACACCAGUGGCGAAGGCGACUUGCUGGGCCACCACUGACGGUCAGGGACGAAAGCGUGGGGAGCAAAUAGG
RNAcentral lists this ribosomal RNA (252 nucleotides) under uncultured bacterium. Its description in RNAcentral is "partial 16S ribosomal RNA". It matches the Rfam family "Bacterial small subunit ribosomal RNA", at positions 524 to 776 of the family's 1533-position model. The record is from RNAcentral.